This 305-nucleotide ribosomal RNA is filed under the name uncultured Lysobacter sp. RNAcentral's name for it is "bacterial SSU rRNA". It matches the Rfam family "Bacterial small subunit ribosomal RNA", at positions 46 to 353 of the family's 1533-position model. Lineage: Bacteria; Pseudomonadati; Pseudomonadota; Gammaproteobacteria; Lysobacterales; Lysobacteraceae. The record is from RNAcentral.
GCCUAACACAUGCAAGUCGAGCGGCAGCGGGUCCUUCGGGAUGCCGGCGAGCGGCGGACGGGUGAGGAAUACAUCGGAAUCUGCCCUGUCGUGGGGGAUAACCUAGGGAAACUUAGGCUAAUACCGCAUACGACCUACGGGUGAAAGCGGGGGAUCGCAAGACCUCGCGCGACAGGAUGAGCCGAUGUCCGAUUAGCUAGUUGGCGGGGUAAAGGCCCACCAAGGCGACGAUCGGUAGCUGGUCUGAGAGGAUGAUCAGCCACACUGGGACUGAGACACGGCCCAGACUCCUACGGGAGGCAGCA